RNAcentral lists this ribosomal RNA (488 nucleotides) under uncultured bacterium. RNAcentral's name for it is "partial 16S ribosomal RNA". It matches the Rfam family "Bacterial small subunit ribosomal RNA", at positions 28 to 505 of the family's 1533-position model. The record is from RNAcentral.
GACGAACGCUGGCGGCGUGCUUAACACAUGCAAGUCGAACGGAAAGGCCCUGCUUUUGUGGGGUGCUCGAGUGGCGAACGGGUGAGUAACACGUGAGUAACCUGCCCUUGACUUUGGGAUAACUUCAGGAAACUGGGGCUAAUACCGGAUAGGAGCUCCUGCUGCAUGGUGGGGGUUGGAAAGUUUCGGCGGUUGGGGAUGGACUCGCGGCUUAUCAGCUUGUUGGUGGGGUAGUGGCUUACCAAGGCUUUGACGGGUAGCCGGCCUGAGAGGGUGACCGGGCAGGCCGGAGGGGGGGGACGGCCAGGGGUGCACUGGGAUGCGGCGGAGCCGCCGACGGCGGGCAGGGCGGGGGAAUGUUGCAGCACGGCCGGGUGCGUGCUGCAGCUCUUCGGCGCGCGGGACUCUGGCAUUCGGGAGGUAAAAAGCUUUCAGCAACGACGCACGUCGGGAGGCGAUAUAGGGAGAAGAAGCCCCGUCUAACUAUG